AACGAACGCUGGCGGCAUGCCUAACACAUGCAAGUCGAACGAGACCUUCGGGUCUAGUGGCGCACGGGUGCGUAACGCGUGGGAACCUGCCCUUAGGUUCGGAAUAACUCCCCGAAAGGGGUGCUAAUACCGGAUAAUGUCUUCGGACCAAAGAUUUAUCGCCUUUGGAUGGGCCCGCGUUGGAUUAGCUAGUUGGUAGGGUAAAAGCCUACCAAGGCGACGAUCCAUAGCUGGUCUGAGAGGAUGAUCAGCCACACUGGGACUGAGACACGGCCCAGACUCCUACGGGAGGCAGCAGUGGGGAAUAUUGGACAAUGGGCGAAAGACUGGUCCAGCAAUGACGAGUGAGUGAUGAAGGCCUUAGGGUUGUAAAGCUCUUUUACCCGGGAUGAUAAUGACAGUACCGGGAGAAUAAGCUCCGGCUAACUCCGUG
RNAcentral lists this ribosomal RNA (433 nucleotides) under uncultured bacterium. RNAcentral describes it as "partial 16S ribosomal RNA". It matches the Rfam family "Bacterial small subunit ribosomal RNA", at positions 29 to 507 of the family's 1533-position model. The record is from RNAcentral.